This 339-nucleotide ribosomal RNA is filed under the name uncultured Pseudomonadota bacterium. Its description in RNAcentral is "bacterial SSU rRNA". It matches the Rfam family "Bacterial small subunit ribosomal RNA", at positions 29 to 351 of the family's 1533-position model. The record is from RNAcentral. Lineage: Bacteria; Pseudomonadati; Pseudomonadota.
AACUAACGCUGGCGGCGUGCCUAACACAUGCAAGUCGUACGAGAAAGUUGGCUUCGGCCGAUGAGUAAAGUGGCGCACGGGUGAGUAACGCGUGGAUAAUCUGCCUUUUAGUUGGGAAUAACGUACCGAAAGGUGCGCUAAUACCGGAUGAUACUGAGCAACUACUGUUGCUUAGUCAAAGAAGGCCUCUGUUUACAAGCUUUCACCGGAGGAUGAGCCCGCGUACCAUUAGCUAGUUGGCAGGGUAAUGGCCUACCAAGGCAACGAUGGUUAGCUGGUCUGAGAGGAUGACCAGCCACACUGGAACUGAGACACGGUCCAGACUCCUACGGGUGGCAG